GAUGAACGCUAGCGGCAGGCUUAAUACAUGCAAGUCGUGGGGCAGCAGGUUUGUAGCAAUACAGAUGCUGGCGACCGGCAAACGGGUGCGGAACACGUACAGAACCUUCCUUUGAGCGGGGAAUAGCCCAGAGAAAUUUGGAUUAAUACCCCAUAGUAUAAUGAAGUGGCAUCACUUUAUUAUUAAAGAUUUAUCACUCGAAGAUGGCUGUGCGGCUGAUUAGGUAGUUGGCGGGGUAAAGGCCCACCAAGCCUGCGAUCAGUAACUGGUGUGAGAGCACGACCAGUCACACGGGCACUGAGACACGGGCCCGACUCCUACGGGAGGCAGCAGUAAGGAAUAUUGGUCAAUGGAGGCAACUCUGAACCAGCCAUGCCGCGUGGAGGAUGAAGGUCCUCUGGAUUGUAAACUUCUUUUAUAUGGGACGAAAAAAGGACUCUUCUAAGUCGUCUGACGGUACCAUAUGAAUAAGCACCGGCUAACUCCGUGCCAG
This 493-nucleotide ribosomal RNA is filed under the name uncultured bacterium. Its description in RNAcentral is "bacterial SSU rRNA". It matches the Rfam family "Bacterial small subunit ribosomal RNA", at positions 28 to 511 of the family's 1533-position model. The record is from RNAcentral.